AACGUAGGAGGCAAGCGUUAUCCGGAUUUACUGGGCGUAAAGCGCGUGUAGGCGGUUUGGAAAGUUGGAUGUGAAAGCUCCUGGCUCAACUGGGAGAGGUCGUUCAAAACUUCCAGACUAGAGGGUGGUAGAGGGAGGUGGAAUUCCGGGUGUAGUGGUGAAAUGCGUAGAUAUCCGGAGGAACACCAGUGGCGAAAGCGGCCUCCUGGACCAUUUCUGACGCUCAGACGCGAAAGCUAGGGUAGCAAACGGG
Molecule: ribosomal RNA, 253 nt
Filed under: uncultured bacterium
Lineage: Bacteria
Description: partial 16S ribosomal RNA
Rfam family: Bacterial small subunit ribosomal RNA
Source: RNAcentral